AUCAAAAUUAGUGAAUGCACUGCAUCUCUCUGCAGUGGAGAGAAGCGACAAGGUAGGCUGUCAUUCUGCAAAAGCUGCCCAGAACAGGCUUUCCUCUGAAAAGCAGUGCCAUUCCUUUUUAGAAAGACUGAAUCUAAGUGUUGUCUCUGGAGACAAGAAGCCUUCAGUAUGUUAAAUUACUUUCAUUAUGUAUUUUCAGAUGCUUAUUGAUUCCACAGUAGGAAGAGUGAGAGACUGCAGCAGCCUCCAAGCAGCACUACAUGUUCCAUACAUUAGCAGUACUGCUGAAACAAUGGCAUAGUACAGACACAUAUUUUCAUUAAGGUCUCUUCCGAAGAGGUGAUUAUGACCCUCUUUCCCGGUCCUCUACUAACCAGUGAACAAAAUGAAUCAAUCAAAACUGGAAACGCUUCAACUACAUCAAGAAUCUUUCAAAUCUUUAGCAGAGGGCUCAAAGCAGCUAAUUCAGUAUUUACAACUGACAAUAUGAAGAAUGCAUCUGAUCCAUCAUCUCCCUAGCUGUCUGAACCAUAAACUGCAGGAUAUUCUUGCAACACAUGAUUUUAAGACAUUAAGGAGUUAAAACUGGAGAACAGAGGUCUACAUGACUGCUGGGAUUAUAACACAUCAAUAGUAAUAAUACUAAGAAGAUGCCAUAUAAAAUAGCCACAAAAUGAAAAACAAUGUAACUGAAAAACCCUGAAAACAAAAUGGUGAGCAUUUUUAAAGGAGAACUUUAUACUACAACAUUACCAGAAUUGUGGAGCCACCAAUUCUUGAAGAAACAAUGAAACAUGGAUUGCCAAAAGAAAUGACAUACAUUAUCAGCAAGCUAAUGAGGCUUUAUCAAGUAUUUUUCUGCACUAAAUAUUCAGAUAUUCAUAUCAAUUAAUAUUACUAAAGAAUUUUUCCAUCUGAGUUUUAUGACCAAUUAUGUGUCCUCUUCUAAUGAAAACAAACCAAAUUAAAUAGCAGAUGGUUUUUAUCAAGAGAACAUGGACUGGACUUACAAAGCAAGUUAUGUGACCAAGAAAUCAUUUCAAAGUAAUGAGGACUGCUAUAGAAGUAGAUUUACAUUUGUAACAAAAGGAUGUCUAAAAACAUUUUAGAAGCUAGGAACUUUAUGUUUCCUUUCUGUUUUCACAUGUUCUGGAAAAUAAAGAAACAUCAUCAUAAACUCUCUCA
Bos mutus (wild yak) is the source of this 1185-nucleotide long non-coding RNA. NCBI's taxonomy places the organism in Eukaryota, Metazoa, Chordata, Mammalia, Artiodactyla, Bovidae. The record is from Ensembl.